RNAcentral lists this ribosomal RNA (496 nucleotides) under uncultured bacterium. RNAcentral's name for it is "partial 16S ribosomal RNA". It matches the Rfam family "Bacterial small subunit ribosomal RNA", at positions 28 to 507 of the family's 1533-position model. The record is from RNAcentral.
GAUGAACGCUGGCGGCGUGCCUAAUACAUGCAAGUCGAGCGAACAGACGAGGAGCUUGCUCCUCUGACGUUAGCGGCGGACGGGUGAGUAACACGUGGAUAACCUACCUAUAAGACUGGGAUAACUUCGGGAAACCGGAGCUAAUACCGGAUAAUAUAUUGAACCGCAUGGUUCAAUAGUGAAAGACGGUUUUGCUGUCACUUAUAGAUGGAUCCGCGCCGCAUUAGCUAGUUGGUAAGGUAACGGCUACCAAGGCAACGAUGCGUAGCCGACCUGAGAGGGUGAUCGGCCACACUGGAACUGAGACACGGUCCAGACUCCUACGGGAGGCAGCAGUAGGGAAUCUUCCGCAAUGGGCGAAAGCUUGACGGAGCAACGCCGCGUGAGUGAUGAAGGUCUUCGGAUCGUAAAACUCUGUUAUUAGGGAAGAACAAAUGUGUAAGUAACUAUGCACGUCUUGACGGUACCUAAUCAGAAAGCCACGGCUAACUACGUG